GCCAUGCGGCGGCUACACAUGCAGUCGAGCGGUAACAGAGCCAGCUUGCUACCCGCUGACGAGCGGCGGACGGGUGAGUAAUGCAUAGGAAUCUGCCCGAUAGUGGGGGAUAACCUGGGGAAACCCAGGCUAAUACCGCAUACGUCCUACGGGAGAAAGGGGGCUUCGGCUCCCGCUAUUGGAUGAGCCUAUGUCGGAUUAGCUAGUUGGUGAGGUAACGGCUUACCAAGGCCACGAUCCGUAGCUGGUCUGAGAGGAUGAUCAGCCACAUCGGGACUGAGACACGGCCCGAACUCCUACGGGAGGCAGCAGUGGGGAAUAUUGGACAAUGGGGGGAACCCUGAUCCAGCCAUGCCGCGUGUGUGAAGAAGGCCCUCGGGUUGUAAAGCACUUUCAGCGAGGAAGAACGCCUAUCGGUUAAUACCCGGUAGGAAAGACAUCACUCGCAGAAGAAGCACCGGCUAACUCCGUGCCAGCAGCCGCGGUAAUACGGAGGGUGCAAGCGUUAAUCGGAAUUACUGGGCGUAAAGCGCGCGUAGGUGGCUUGAUAAGCCGGUUGUGAAAGCCCCGGGCUCAACCUGGGAACGGCAUCCGGAACUGUCAAGCUAGAGUGCAGGAGAGGAAGGUAGAAUUCCCGGUGUAGCGGUGAAAUGCGUAGAGAUCGGGAGGAAUACCAGUGGCGAAGGCGGCCUUCUGGACUGACACUGACACUGAGGUGCGAAAGCGUGGGUAGCAAACAGGAUUAGAUACCUUUGGUAGUC
Molecule: ribosomal RNA, 761 nt
Filed under: Vreelandella titanicae
Lineage: Bacteria; Pseudomonadati; Pseudomonadota; Gammaproteobacteria; Oceanospirillales; Halomonadaceae
Description: bacterial SSU rRNA
Rfam family: Bacterial small subunit ribosomal RNA
Source: RNAcentral